This 496-nucleotide ribosomal RNA is filed under the name uncultured bacterium. RNAcentral describes it as "partial 16S ribosomal RNA". It matches the Rfam family "Bacterial small subunit ribosomal RNA", at positions 28 to 506 of the family's 1533-position model. The record is from RNAcentral.
GAUGAACGCUGGCGGCGUGCCUAAUACAUGCAAGUCGAGCGAACGGACGAGAAGCUUGCUUCUCUGAUGUUAGCGGCGGACGGGUGAGUAACACGUGGAUAACCUACCUAUAAGACUGGGAUAACCUCGGGAAACCGGAGCUAAUACCGGAUGAUAUUUUGAACCGCAUGGUUCAAAAGUGAAAGACGGUCUUGCUGUCACUUAUAGAUGGAUCCGCGCUGCAUUAGCUAGUUGGUAAGGUAACGGCUUACCAAGGCAACGAUGCAUAGCCGACCUGAGAGGGUGAUCGGCCACACUGGAACUGAGACACGGUCCAGACUCCUACGGGAGGCAGCAGUAGGGAAUCUUCCGCAAUGGGCGAAAGCCUGACGGAGCAACGCCGCGUGAGUGAUGAAGGUCUUCGGAUCGUAAAACUCUGUUAUUAGGGAAGAACAUAUGUGUAAGUAACUGUGCACAUCUUGACGGGACCUAAUCAGAAAGCCACGGCUAACUACGU